RNAcentral lists this long non-coding RNA (293 nucleotides) under Trifolium pratense (red clover). Its description in RNAcentral is "long non-coding RNA (TPRA_LNC005124)". The record is from RNAcentral. Lineage: Eukaryota; Viridiplantae; Streptophyta; Magnoliopsida; Fabales; Fabaceae.
AAAAUCACAUAUAUAUUUAAAAAUCAAUUAUUUUAUUAUUUAUAUUUUAUUAAUUUUAUUUUAUGUAUUUUAAAAUAUAUUUUAUAAAAUAAAUCAGUAUUUUUUUUUCUUAUCAUAUCCUGCUGGUAACCCAGCUCAAAUUCAGGAUAAGAAUUAUAACUAGAGAGAUAAGAUAGGAUAAGCUUCAGGAUUAACUUAUCAUAUCCUUCUGUAUCACCAAACACUGGAUUGCGGCAGGAUAUGAUACAGUUAUCCUAUCCUGUCUCUUAUCCUGUGCACCAAACGGACCCUAA